Molecule: transfer RNA, 85 nt
Filed under: Felis catus (domestic cat)
Lineage: Eukaryota; Metazoa; Chordata; Mammalia; Carnivora; Felidae
Rfam family: tRNA
About the family: Transfer RNA (tRNA) molecules are approximately 80 nucleotides in length. Their secondary structure includes four short double-helical elements and three loops (D, anti-codon, and T loops). Further hydrogen bonds mediate the characteristic L-shaped molecular structure. tRNAs have two regions of fundamental functional importance: the anti-codon, which is responsible for specific mRNA codon recognition, and the 3' end, to which the tRNAs corresponding amino acid is attached (by aminoacyl-tRNA synthetases). tRNAs cope with the degeneracy of the genetic code in two manners: having more than one tRNA (with a specific anti-codon) for a particular amino acid; and 'wobble' base-pairing, i.e. permitting non-standard base-pairing at the 3rd anti-codon position.
Source: Rfam by way of RNAcentral
GCCUGGGUGGCUCAGUCAGUUAAGUGUCUGACUUCGACUCAGGUCAUGAUCUCGCGGUCCGUGGGUUCGAGCCCCACGUCUGGCU